UAUAGUCUUGCAUGCAAGGCUCUUACAGCAAGACUAUAGUCUUGCAUACUGCAAGACUAUAGUCUUGCAUACAGCAAGACUAUAGUCUUGCAUACAGCAAGGCUAUAGUCUUGCAUGCAAGGCUAUUACAGCAAGGCUAUAGUCUUGCAUGCAAGGCUAUUACAGCAAGGCUAUAGUCUUGCAUACAAGGCUAUUACAGCAAGACUAUAGUCUUGCAUACUAUAGUCUUGCAUGCAAGGCUCUUUCAGCAAGACUAUAGUCUUGCAUGCAAGGCUCUUACAGCAAGACUAUAGUCUUGCAUGCAAGGCUCUUACAGCAAGACUAUAGUCUUGCAUACAGCAAGGCUAUAGUCUUGCAUGCAAGGCUAUUACAGCAAGGCUAUAGUCUUGCAUACAAUGCUAUUACAGCAAGACUAUAGUCUUGCAUACAGCAAGGCUAUAGUCUUGCAUGCAAGGCUCUUACAGCAAGACUAUAGUCUUGCAAGACUAUAGUCUUGCAUGCAAGGCUAUUACAGCAAGGCUAUAGUCUUGCAUAAAAAAAACGCCAAAAUUUAAUAUGUAGAAAUAACAUCCCGAACCGUCUAUUGAUUGUCAAAAUGUUCAUUUUCUGUUUGGAAAAAACUUAUAACCCAUAAAAUUUGUUUUAAAAAUAACAAGGCUACAGCCUUAUGGUUUAAUGAUUUUUCACCAACAAACUCAAACAUUACCAUUUCUUAAAAAUUGUUACGUAAUUUCCAAUUAACCAUGAGCAUAUUCUAUACAGUACAUGUAUUUAAAUACUAUGAAGAACUUAAAAUUUAAGUCUACACCUUAGGUUACAAUACGAAUAAAAGAAAACCAGGAAAUGUCGUAA
Patiria miniata (bat star) is the source of this 852-nucleotide long non-coding RNA. RefSeq lists it as uncharacterized. The record is from RefSeq and is a predicted model, not a curated record. NCBI's taxonomy places the organism in Eukaryota, Metazoa, Echinodermata, Asteroidea, Valvatida, Asterinidae. The transcript is spliced from 2 exons.